AAACAACUCUCAGCAACGGRUAUCUUGGCUCUUGCAACGAUGAAGAACGCAGCGAAAUGCGAUACGUAGUGUGAAUUGCAGAAUUCCGCGAAUCAUCGAGUCUUUGAACGCAAGUUGCGCCCGAGGCUUGUCCGAGGGCAUUUCCGCUAGAGCGUCACC
RNAcentral lists this ribosomal RNA (159 nucleotides) under Straminergon stramineum. RNAcentral's name for it is "5.8S ribosomal RNA". It matches the Rfam family "5.8S ribosomal RNA". From Rfam's summary of the family: 5.8S ribosomal RNA (5.8S rRNA) is a component of the large subunit of the eukaryotic ribosome. It is transcribed by RNA polymerase I as part of the 45S precursor that also contains 18S and 28S rRNA. The record is from RNAcentral. Lineage: Eukaryota; Viridiplantae; Streptophyta; Bryopsida; Hypnales; Calliergonaceae.